AUUGAACGCUGGCGGAAUGCUUUACACAUGCAAGUCGAACGGCAGCACAGGGGCAAUCCUGGUGGCGAGUGGCGAACGGGUGAGUAAUACAUCGGAACGUGCCUAGUCGUGGGGGAUAACUACGCGAAAGCGUAGCUAAUACCGCAUACGAACUCUGGUUGAAAGCGGGGGAUCGCAAGACCUCGCGCGAUUGGAGCGGCCGAUGGCAGAUUAGGUAGUUGGUGGGGUAAAGGCUCACCAAGCCGACGAUCUGUAGCUGGUCUGAGAGGGCGACCAGCCACACUGGGACUGAGACACGGCCCAGACUCCUACGGGAGGCAGCAGUGGGGAAUUUUGGACAAUGGGCGCAAGCCUGAUCCAGCCAUUCCGCGUGCAGGAUGAAGGCCCUCGGGUUGUAAACUGCUUUUGUACGGAACGAAACGGUGCUCUCUAAUACAGGGCGCUAAUGACGGUACCGUAAGAAUAAGCACCGGCUAACUACGUGCCAGCCGCCGCAGUAA
RNAcentral lists this ribosomal RNA (500 nucleotides) under uncultured bacterium. RNAcentral describes it as "partial 16S ribosomal RNA". It matches the Rfam family "Bacterial small subunit ribosomal RNA", at positions 30 to 523 of the family's 1533-position model. The record is from RNAcentral.